GGAGACGGGGAGAGAGGAGGAGAGGGGGAGUGAGCAGUAGAGGAGUGAGAGAGAGGGGGGAGAGGCGUUGAGUGAGCAGACCCAAUCUUUUGACUCUUUUGGGCCUACCCCCUCGACGAAAGCUAUUUUCAUAAAGCUGUGUGUGCUUGUGUGUGUGUAUGUGUGAAGCCAAGCCAGAGGGCUGCUUGAGAUCCAGGUCCACUAGAACCAGACCCAGCUGAGAAAACAAAUGGCCUCUCUCUCUUCUUUCCCCCUCCCUCCCUCUCUCCGUUCAUUCAAUUUUAUUUGUCCUUUUUUUUCUCCAGAAUGGUCAUUUCAUCAGGUAGGAGAGCUAAUCAGAACCAGAACACAGCUACUGACCCCUCCGCUAUCCCCUCGUAAUCCUCAAACUCUGCUUCUCAUUUUCUUCGACCUGGAGGAGGUGUCACCGGUUUCCCCAUUAGUCCCUGGUUUUGACCCUUGCCUGCCUUGACACUGAACCCGCCUGCCUGACCAUACUGCCUGCCCUGACCUCGAGUCUGCCUGCCACUCUGACCUUGUUAUGAUCUUUUGCCUGUCCACGACCAUUCUCUUGCCUGAGCCUUAUAUUACAAUAAAUAUCAGAGACUCGAACCAUCUGCCUCCCGUGUCUGCAUCUGGGUCUCGCCCUGUGCCCUUAUAGUACGAACUGGCCAUGACAGAUUCAGCGGAAUUGAACCAGCUCCGCCACACUGUCUCCCUGCAGGGAGCCACCAUUGGGAGGCAUGAGGAGCUACUGCUAGACCUUUUGGAAGGGCUUCGUUCCCUGACGGAACGCCACAGCAGAGGUGAGGAAGGUUUUAGAUUCUCCAGCAUCCGGGAGAGAGGCAGCCCGAAAACUACUUGAACAACGUCAAGACUCACGUAGUGUGGACUGUAGACUUUUGCAUGUUGGCCGCCGAAAGUGCCUGGAAUCCGGAGUCCCUAUUCGAUGCCUUCCUUCACGGAUGAUCAGAGGUGAUAAAAGAUGAGCUAGCUGCUCGGGAGUUACCGGGGGACCUCGAUUCCCUGAUUGCCCUCACCAUUAGGAUUGAUAGACGUCUACGGGAACUCAGGAGUGAGAGGAGGUCUGGCCUAGGUCACACUCGUCCAUCCGCUGCGGCUCGCUCACCUCCGAAGGAAUCCGGAAGUCCCCGAAGGCAGUUUUUCCGAGAGGAUUCGAGGCCACCCGAGCUCCCUUGAGAAUCAUCGACGACGGGUGAGUCAGAUACACCGAAACCUAUGCAACUGGGAAGAGCUAGAUUAUCGCCUAGGGAACGUUCACGCAGGCUAAGCUCCAAUAGUUGUCUGUAUUGUGGUGCUGUAGGGCAUUACAUAGCCACCUGCCCAGUGAAGAGACUUGAAUCCUUAGUAGGUACAAGAACACUG
Molecule: long non-coding RNA, 1386 nt
Organism: Oncorhynchus tshawytscha (Chinook salmon)
Lineage: Eukaryota; Metazoa; Chordata; Actinopteri; Salmoniformes; Salmonidae
Source: Ensembl